GUUAGCUUUGUGCCGUUUCUUAAUACCCCAUGAUGGAUUUUAAAAAGUUAAGGGCCUAUUUGGAUAAUUGGGUAGAAAUUCCUAUAAAACUCAUGGUUUGGGCCAGUCAUAGGAUCAUAAGCUGAGCUAGCUCUAUAUUCAUAACUACCUAAGAAUAGCUUUGAAGUAGGCCGGCUUGAAUCCUAUGGGAACAAAAAUGUCUUAUUCAUAACUACAUAGGAACA
Molecule: long non-coding RNA, 224 nt
Filed under: Elaeis guineensis (African oil palm)
Lineage: Eukaryota; Viridiplantae; Streptophyta; Magnoliopsida; Arecales; Arecaceae
Description: long non-coding RNA (EGUI_LNC041249)
Source: RNAcentral